GGGGGGGGCAAGCGUUGUUCGGAAUUACUGGGCGUAAAGGGCUCGUAGGCGGCCAACUAAGUCAGACGUGAAAUCCCUCGGCUUAACCGGGGAACUGCGUCUGAUACUGGAUGGCUUGAGUUUGGGAGAGGGAUGCGGAAUUCCAGGUGUAGCGGUGAAAUGCGUAGAUAUCUGGAGGAACACCGGUGGCGAAGGCGGCAUCCUGGACCAACACUGACGCUGAGGAGCGAAAGCCAGGGGAGCAAACGGGAUUAGAUACCCCGGUAGUCCUAGCCGUAAACGAUGGACACUAGGUGUUGGUGGUAUCAACCCCGCCAGUGCCGAAGCUAACGCAUUAAGUGUCCCGCCUGGGGAGUACGGCCGCAAGGCUA
This 371-nucleotide ribosomal RNA is filed under the name uncultured bacterium. Its description in RNAcentral is "bacterial SSU rRNA". It matches the Rfam family "Bacterial small subunit ribosomal RNA", at positions 527 to 896 of the family's 1533-position model. The record is from RNAcentral.